GAGAACCGCAGUGCCUGCUGGGAACAACAAACUCGAGCGCCAUCUUGCCUGGCAACGACUAAGGAGGGCGAAUUAAGGAGCUGUUUAAAUGCUUUUUAAACGCAAAUAGAGUUGUUUCAGUUGUUUGCAUUGGUCGUUUAUUGUAAGUCCAGAGUUAGAAGAGCAGCAGUUGGACGGGAGUCUGCAUUGUGGUUCACAUUUCAGCCGUAAGACUGGUCAUCAUGGGCCGCUCACGCAGCCGAAGCACGUCUCGGUCUAAACACUCAAAAAGCAGCAAGCACAGCAAGAAACGGAGCCGGUCCCGGUCCAGAGACAGGGAGCGGUCCAAGAAACGAUCCAAGUCCCGGGAGUCUAAGAAAAACCGGCGCAGAGAGUCCCGCUCCCGAUCCAGGUCCACCACAGCCUCGUCCCGCAGAGAGCGAGCAGCCUCUCCCCCGGAGAGGAUCGACAUCUUCGGCAGGACUCUGAGUAAAAGGACCGCUCUGGACGAGAAGCAGAGGAAGGAAGAGGAGGAGAGAAAGGCAGAGAUGGAGAGACAGAGGAAAAUCCGCCAGCAGGAGAUCGAGGAGAAGCUGAUCGAGGAGGAGACGGCCCGGCGGGUGGAGGAGCUGGUGGCCAAGCGGGUGGAGGAGGAGCUGGAGAAGCGGAAGGACGAGAUAGAGCGGGAGGUGCUGCGGCGCGUGGAGGAGGCCAAGCGCAUCAUGGAGCGGCAGCUGCUGGAGGAGCUGGAGCGGCAGCGGCAGGCCGAGCUGGCGGCGCAGAAGGCCAGAGAGGUAACGCUCGGUCGUUUGGGAUGCACCCCCGUCUCUUUCUGCCUCCACCCACCGUCCUCCGCUUUCAGUCCCCAACAAAUUAUUGGAGUUUUGCUGCUUUCAAACACACAGGAUGAGGGAGGAACACAAGCAGCAGAGGUUUCUCUUUGCAGCUGACAUUAAAACAGCAGCAAGUUAGAAACUGUAGAGCAAGAAGACAAACAUUCUCUCUGAUUUCGACAUUGUGCAGCAGCGACUGACACAUAUGACAUAUUUUUAUUAGCAAAACUGAUUAUUAAAAACAUGAUUAUAUGAAACGUUAACCUCACUCUAACCCAGAUCCUGUUGCUAUUUAACUGCAGAAGUUAAAUAGCAACCUCUGUUGCGAUAGUAAUGUUACAAUAAUGCAGAUUAUUCCUAGUAGGUUUGACUGUUUCUCCAUCUUUGUUAAGAUACUAAAUUAUAGUUUUGGUUGUUAAUCAUAUUUACUCAGUAAAAACUUGUUCCCAGUUUAGCUAAAUUAUUUUUUGUUUAAUUAAUCACACCAACAAACGUAUCCCUGCAAAGCUCAGACAUGAUUUAAAUCAUAUUAUUUUUUACCUCUGUUUGUUUGCAGCAGCAAACCCGAUGAAGGAUUUAUUUUUUAAAUUCUCUGAAUAAUUAAAUGUAGACGCACAACGUCAGGACGUCCAGUAAUAUUGUUGAAUGUGUUUCCUGAACUCCUCGGGAAUGAAAAUUUUACCCACAAAUAAUGUUUUAAUAAUCUACUGUCAUCGCAAUGUUGCUCUCUGGUUCAUUUGUUACAAUUUUAAUACUUUUUUUUUAUUUUAUUUUACUGGAAUCACAAGUAGGAGUUGAGAUUAACUUGAUUUAUCUGGUCAGCCUAUUUGACAGUCUAAACAUAAAAAUGAUUUGCGCCUCUCCUUUUCUUUCUACACCAUGACUAGCUGAACAUGUCGGCCUAAAUAAGUUGUGAUUUUUGUAUUUAAAAAAUUCAUAAUUAAUUCAAUAAUUGUAUACAUUUACAUUAUUUUAAACAAUAUCAGAAGUCCAGGUGGUUGAGGUGAAUGUGUGGGGCCCACAAAACGUCUGGAUUGAGGAAAACUGCCUCAAAGUUUCAUUGUCAUUAAACUUGAGAUAUCUGCUGAAACAAACGUGAUCGGCUUCUAAUCUCUUUACUAUAGUAGCAGAGGCUAACAUGAUUAGCUCCUGCUAAUAGUGUUAGCUGGAGUUAACAUGAUUAGCUCUACUUUAAAAACUAAAACACCAAGACUCUUAACAACGCUAGCAGGAUCCAACACAAUUGGCUUCAGUAAACUUGAGUAGCAAGAGUUUCACACGACAUGAUUAGCAGGAGCCAGCAGAAUUAGCUGUAGCUAGAAAAAGUAGUAGGAGCUAAAACAAUUAGCAGGAGCCAAAAACAUUAGUUGGAGCUAACAACAUUAGCUGGAGCUAGCACGAUUACCAGGAGCUAAAGCCACUAGCUGGAGCUAAUGCUGAGUAAGAACAAAUUGGAAGAUAAUUAAAUGAUGUUUAAAUGAAAUUUCUUUGUUGCACAUCAUCCUAAUAUAUUUGAGAAAAUAUUUCAAUCCUGCUGUUUACCGUAAACAUUUUAGUUAGAAGCUAAAGUUCGCCUCUGAUUGGACCUUUCUAUUUGGGAAAUAGCUAACGGUCGAUUCCACUUAAUGUUUCGCUACCAUGAUCGUCUUUAAUGAGCUCUACUUUAAAAACUAAAACAAAAAGACACGUCCGGCCUGUUCCAGAUUAUUCUGCACUUUGACUUCUGGCCUUCUGCUUAGCUACGUUUUUUUAUUUUUUUUCAUUUUCAGAAUCGGAAGCUAACUUUAGCUUCGCGUUAGCAUUUUCAAACACUGUUUCAACGAGCUUCGGUUCAAAUCAACAGACCUGAAUGUUACUCAAUGGACAGAAACGUAGCUUCUAGCAUAUGUCGUCGACCUAAGCAGCGUUGCAGUGCAAUAAAACGAGGGGAUGUAAUAAUUCAGUAUAAAAGGUUCCUCCUCCUUUCUCUCUUCCCGUUCUGUCUCUACUUGGUUUCCUCAUCAGAAAAGUUCGGGAAAACCCGACCGGAUCCGUGUGGAAAUGUUCAUCCCAUCUGACUCACAGACGGUUUAUCCCUUCAGGUUCUCGGCGGCUAUCCGAUGGUUUUAUCUGAUGAUAUGAAUUAAUAUCUUUCUGACUGGUUAUUUCCCACAGUUUGAUGUUUCUUUUGGUUUCUAUUGUACCAUAACUUGCUUCUCCCAUAGGGUGGCUGCUCGGUGUCAUUCUGUUGAUGUGUUUUAUUUAUAUAUAUUUUUUAUUAUUUUUUGUUGUUGUUUUUCGGACACACACCUCACCACCUUCCUAACUAGCUCUUGACCCGAGCUGGCGCUGCAGCCUUUCAGCUCACCUGUGACUUGUGUCCUGUUACUGUAAGUGUGCCGUGGUCGGGUCCUCCUCGAACACACACACACACACACACACCUUGUGCAGCAGCUCUCUACAGAGACAACAAAAAGCCCCACAGAGAGAGCGCUAAAGCAGAUUUGACUUAUAAAGAGGAGCGCGCCAUAUUCGACCCCAGGAGCGCCUCUCUGUCUCUGCAGGGGCCGCGGUCCGGACGGGACAGUAAAUAUUCAGCCGUUUAUUGCCGAAUGCGUUCACCAGUUGUGUAGGUACACAGGCAAGGAAAAUGCGUAGGUAUACGUUCAUUGGUGAGCCAAAACUCUUCCCUCCUUCUUCUUCUUCUCUCUUGCAUUUGAUGAUGUUAAAAGCAGCAGAUGUAUUUUUUCUCUAGUCUAUGUUUCUGUCCUCUGAAUGUGAUGAAUGUGUUUGUGGUUUUUGUUUUUUGUAAACUUUAAAAUAACAGAGUAGGUGUGAAUUAGACAUUUGAAUUCUUCCAGGAAGAGAUUUGAAGUAGUCGAGGGAGGCGUUCACGUCUCCGCUCAGUUUCUUUAUGUUUGUAGAAAACAAUUCAGGCUGACUGAAGAGACUUUCUGUGGUGGAGUGACUGACUGGCUGAGUGUGUGUGUGUGUGAGAAAGAGAGAGUGUGUGUGUGUGCUUUGUGACUUUUUCAUGCGCUAACAUGGCACCAUGUCACCCAUCCAGGAGGAAGAGAAAUCCAAGCGGGAGGAGCUGGAAAAAAUCCUGGAGGAGAAUAACCGCAAGAUCGCCGAGGCGCAGGCCAAGCUGGCCGAGGAGCAGCUACGGAUCGUGGAGGAGCAGAGAAAGAUCCACGAGGAGCGCAUGAAGCUGGA
RNA transcript from Xiphophorus hellerii (green swordtail), 4007 nucleotides. It is a transcript of the gene named arginine and glutamate rich 1a, with no coding region annotated. The transcript is spliced from 4 exons. The record is from RefSeq and is a predicted model, not a curated record. Lineage: Eukaryota; Metazoa; Chordata; Actinopteri; Cyprinodontiformes; Poeciliidae.